Molecule: ribosomal RNA, 593 nt
Filed under: uncultured bacterium
Lineage: Bacteria
Description: bacterial SSU rRNA
Rfam family: Bacterial small subunit ribosomal RNA
Source: RNAcentral
CCUACGGGAGGCAGCAGUGGGGAAUUUUGGACAAUGGGCGAAAGCCUGAUCCAGCAAUGCCGCGUGAGUGAAGAAGGCCUUCGGGUUGUAAAGCUCUUUUGUCAGGGAAGAAACGGUGAGAGCUAAUAUCUCUUGCUAAUGACGGUACCUGAAGAAUAAGCACCGGCUAACUACGUGCCAGCAGCCGCGGUAAUACGUAGGGUGCAAGCGCUAAUCGGAAUUACUGGGCGUAAAGCGUGCGCAGGCGGUUUUGUAAGUCUGAUGUGAAAUCCCCGGGCUCAACCUGGGAAUUGCAUUGGAGACUGCAAGGCUAGAAUCUGGCAGAGGGGGGUAGAAUUCCACGUGUAGCAGUGAAAUGCGUAGAUAUGUGGAGGAACACCGAUGGCGAAGGCAGCCCCCUGGGGUCAAGAUUGACGCUCAUGCACGAAAGCGUGGGGAGCAAACAGGAUUAGAUACCCUGGUAGUCCACGCCCUAAACGAUGUCUACUAGUUGUCGGGUCUUAAUUGACUUGGUAACGCAGCUAACGCGUGAAGUAGAACCGCCUGGGGAGUUACGGGUCGCGAAAGAUUAAAACUUCAAAAUGAAUUGACGG